This 23-nucleotide non-coding RNA is filed under the name Cricetulus griseus (Chinese hamster). Lineage: Eukaryota; Metazoa; Chordata; Mammalia; Rodentia; Cricetidae. The record is from RNAcentral.
AGAGUUACCUGAGUGGAAUUUUG